CCUACGGGAGGCAGCAGUGAGGAAUAUUGGUCAAUGGGCGGAAGCCUGAACCAGCCAAGUAGCGUGCGGGAUGAAGGCCCUAUGGGUCGUAAACUGCUUUUGUACGGGGAUAACAUCCUCCACUUGUGGAGGUCUGCAGGUACCGUACGAAUAAGGGUCGGCUAACUCCGUGCCAGCAGCCGCGGUAAUACGGGGGGUCCGAGCGUUAUCCGGAUUUAUUGGGUUUAAGGGGAGCGUAGGCGGGCGGUAAAGUCAGUGGUAAAAUCUCGCGGCUCAACCGCGAACUGCAGUUGAAACUGGACGGCUUGAGUACAGGAGAGGUAGGCGGAAUGCGUGGUGUAGCGGUGAAAUGCAUAGAGAUCACGAAGAACCCCGAGUGCGAAGGCAGCCUACCGGGGUGCAACUGACGCUGAGGCUCGAAAGUGCGGGUAUCAAACAGGAUUAGAUACCCUAGUAGUC
This 459-nucleotide ribosomal RNA is filed under the name uncultured bacterium. RNAcentral describes it as "partial 16S ribosomal RNA". It matches the Rfam family "Bacterial small subunit ribosomal RNA", at positions 338 to 795 of the family's 1533-position model. The record is from RNAcentral.